GGAGAGGCAGCGUGACCUAACGACGAAAGCCUCCACAACUGGUUUCUGUCGGUGUGAGUCCCAAAUCUGCCACUGGCUGGCUGGGAAACCUUGGCGAUUUGGGAAGAUGGAAAAUGCCAGCUUCAAAGCUGGCUCAUGGGGCUAAAAAGAAGCGACUCUGAAAAUGAGUGUUCUGUUGCCUGUGGAGCUGCCUGGAGGUGUCCUCAGCAAGGCCCUGAAUCACCAUCUGGGAAAGCUGCAUGUGCUGGGCCAAGAGAGGUGGCCUGGGAUGCCCAGCUUGAGGAAGGUGGAUUUUUACCCUGGAACAAGUGACAUGCAAAUAGGCAGCUGAACACAGUGACUUUCCAGGCCAGGCCUGCUCCAGCUGCUGUGCUCCAGCCUCGGGGCCUCAGCCUCC
Molecule: long non-coding RNA, 397 nt
Organism: Homo sapiens (human)
Lineage: Eukaryota; Metazoa; Chordata; Mammalia; Primates; Hominidae
Exons: 3
Source: RefSeq, a predicted model, not a curated record